UAACGACAUAUAAAUAAACCGUGCAAUAUGCUUUUUGCUGUGCAAUAUGCAUUUUGCUAUCCGCCGUUUUUGAUCACCUUCAAAUAUAGUUUAACAUGUGACUAUCCCUGAACGAAUAAAAUAAGUUAAAAUAUACGAAUUAAUAAUACUGAUCGAGUAAGAUAAAUAAAAUGUAGAGAAAAGUGACAUAACAAUUUAAAGAAUACAGAAAUAAACACCACCUCCUACC
Molecule: long non-coding RNA, 229 nt
Filed under: Mytilus galloprovincialis (Mediterranean mussel)
Lineage: Eukaryota; Metazoa; Mollusca; Bivalvia; Mytilida; Mytilidae
Source: RNAcentral